UACGGGGGGAGCAAGCGUUGUUCGGAUUUACUGGGCGGAAAGGGCGCGUAGGCGGCCAGCACAAGUCAGUUGUGAAAUCUCCGAGCUUAACUCGGAAAGGUCAACUGAUACUGUGCGGCUAGAGUGCGGAAGGGGCAACUGGAAUUCUUGGUGUAGCGGUGAAAUGCGUAGAUAUCAAGAGGAACACCUGCGGCGAAGGCGGGUUGCUGAGCCGACACUGACGCUGAGGCGCGAAAGCCAGGGGAGCGAACGGG
Molecule: ribosomal RNA, 254 nt
Filed under: uncultured bacterium
Lineage: Bacteria
Description: partial 16S ribosomal RNA
Rfam family: Bacterial small subunit ribosomal RNA
Source: RNAcentral